CUAUCACUCUCUCUUCAAACCGACACUCAAGGUUCAACUAAGCUCCGUCGGUGUGGGGGAUUCAGCUCCAUCGGUGUUGGUGCUAACUGUAAGAGAUUCAGCUUCAUCAACGAGGGGUUUUCGCUCUCUGGCACGGGAUUAGCAUCAUAAAAAAAUUUGCUCAGGUUCAUCUUCCAUACCAGUUCUUUGUGUCUUGCCCCUUGGCCAGCUUCCAGAUCUUAUAAGAGUUUAUUGUUUAAUGGAAGUGUAAUUUUCCAUCUUUCC
Molecule: long non-coding RNA, 264 nt
Organism: Quercus lobata
Lineage: Eukaryota; Viridiplantae; Streptophyta; Magnoliopsida; Fagales; Fagaceae
Exons: 3
Source: RefSeq, a predicted model, not a curated record